This 1344-nucleotide long non-coding RNA is filed under the name Triticum aestivum (bread wheat). Its description in RNAcentral is "long non-coding RNA (TAES_LNC018642)". Lineage: Eukaryota; Viridiplantae; Streptophyta; Magnoliopsida; Poales; Poaceae. The record is from RNAcentral.
GGAGCGACAUGACAUACAAGAGCGUUGCUGCACAUGGGACCAGGAGCACGGCGGCACGGGGGUGCAGGGAGGCGGGCGCAGACCACGACGACGGCGAGGAGCAUGACCGUGCCGAGGAGGUGAUGACCACACCAAACAGCCACGCUCAAGGUAUUUUUUUGUUCCCUCAGUCCCUUCCCUGUACGUCUUGUGUUCUUGUACGUGCGUGUGAACAUGUGCUUGUUCAUGAAUUUCCACAAAGUAUUUCUUGCAGUUUACAUUAGUAAUUGGAGCAGAGACUUACAGUGUUAGGUAAUUUUCGUUGAUACAUAGCAUGCUCUAUAGAUAUGCAUGUUAAUUAGUACUGUAUUUAGGUUUUACCACAUCACUGAAUUUCAAACUACAGGGCUGUGAGCACGCAAAUGAUUAAUGUUCAUUAGAACCUGACUUCUAAUUCCCCUCAAAAAAAUCUGACCUGUAAUUUGGGUAGGUGUACCUUACACUCCGUAAAAGAAGAAAUAUAGAAAAGAUAAAAUUUAGGUUGGUAGUUACCAUUCACUGCAAUUUACAGAUCAAAGUAUUUUCAAAUACGUACAAUUUAGACAAAUCGAUGUACCUUGCCUCACUUUAACUGCAGUAAAGACUGUUUAUUUUCAUGUAUAACUCAAUAGUUUCUCAUGAUGGAGCACAAGGCCUUGUUGUGGUUAGCCCCAAAAAAAUUGACUCACUUUAACUAAGCUUGGUCCCCUGCUGACAUGAUAGGUCAUUAUCCCUCACUUAUCUAAUCUACGUUACACUACAAUAAUUAUUGCUGAUUAUUCCUUUAUCUCUAAAUUUUUGUAUUAGGGGAUAGAGAAUCCACUCUCUUUGCAGCAUUUCAAAGUGUUCCAUAUGAUGACAAAGAAACUAUGGUAACAUGUUCAACUCAUUAAAUUCUGCUAUAACAUGUUGCAAACUUGCAAUGUUUGUUUUGUUCAUUUCCAUUAAUAGUUGUGCUUUUGUUCUGCUCACUUCAAGGAUGAGUCUGAAUUCAUCAUAACCGAAGCCUAGCAAAUGAUGUCUAGAACACUGAGGUGAAGAAUGGAAGAUGAUGCAUGGUUGUACAUGUGCUUACUUGAGUUUGCACUUGUGCUAUGAUGUUUUGUGAGAAACCGAGAUUGAGAAAUGAUGUUGUGAUAUUGCUUUGUCAUUUUGAGAGGAUUGAGAAUUGUAUACUAAUGUUUAUUCGAUGUUAUGUCAAUUAGUGAGAAUACGAGAAUUUAUUUGGUGAUGUGCACUUGUCCUAUGUCAUUUUGUUGGAAUAUAAGAGAUUAUUUGAUGUUGUGCACUUGUGCUAUGUCAUUUUUGGGGAAUUUGAGAGCUUAU